CUCAGAGGUUCUCAUCCUUGUCUUGUUGUGGGAAAAAUGUCCUGUUCUUGGAACCUUAAGAAGACCUCCAGACACACGUGGGUGGUAAAGUCUACCAUAAAUCUGGCAUUUUCAAACAAGUCCUCUCUCUACUUUUCAUCAUUGUGUUCAUGAAGCUUCAGUGUAAGUGAAAUAAGUCAGUCACUAAACAGUAAAAACCAAAAAAAAAAAAAUCACCUAUUUACCUGUGUUGGGAUGACUCCCAGGUUUCAGAAUCAAAUAAUUGGACAGAGAAGCACA
RNAcentral lists this long non-coding RNA (279 nucleotides) under Pan troglodytes (chimpanzee). RNAcentral describes it as "lincRNA". Lineage: Eukaryota; Metazoa; Chordata; Mammalia; Primates; Hominidae. The record is from RNAcentral.